Molecule: RNA transcript, 2931 nt
Organism: Neofelis nebulosa (Clouded leopard)
Lineage: Eukaryota; Metazoa; Chordata; Mammalia; Carnivora; Felidae
Gene: SPNS2
Gene name: SPNS lysolipid transporter 2, sphingosine-1-phosphate
Exons: 13
Source: RefSeq, a predicted model, not a curated record
GCGGCGGCGGCGCAGCGCGGAACGCGGGCCGGAGCGCAGGAGCCGACGGGCCCGGCCGCGAUGGUGCAGCGGCGGCUCCGCGGCGCGCGCACGCUCUGAGUGGGCCCGGGCUGGGCCCCGCGCCCCCCGCGCCCCCCGCCGCCCCGGUCCCGGCCCCGGCCGGCAUGAUGUGCCUGGAGUGCGCCUCGGCGGCGGCGGGCGGCGCGGAGGAGGAGGAGGCGGACGCGGAGCGGCGGCGCCGGCGCCGGGGGGCGCAGCGAGGGGCUGGAGGCGGCGGCUGCUGCGGGGCGCGGGGAGUGGGCGCCGCGGGAGCCGCGGCCGCGGACGACGAGGUGCAGACGCUGUCGGGCAGCGUGAGGCGGGCGCCGUCCGGACCCCCCGGCACCCCCGGCUGCGCGGCCGCUGCCAAGGGCCCCGGAGCUCAGCAGCCCAAGCCGGCCAGCUUGGGCCGCGGACGGGGGGCCGCUGCCGCCAUCCUAAGCUUGGGCAACGUGCUCAACUACCUGGACAGGUACACCGUAGCAGGCGUCCUUCUGGACAUCCAGCAGCAGUUUGGGGUCAAGGACCGAGGCGCCGGCUUGCUGCAGUCAGUGUUCAUCUGCAGUUUCAUGGUGGCCGCCCCCAUCUUCGGCUACCUGGGUGACCGCUUCAACAGGAAAGUGAUCCUCAGCUGCGGUGUCUUCUUCUGGUCGGCGGUCACCUUCUCCAGCUCCUUCAUCCCACGGCAGCACUUCUGGCUGCUGGUCCUGUCGCGGGGGCUGGUGGGCAUCGGCGAGGCCAGCUACUCCACCAUCGCGCCCACCAUCAUCGGCGACCUCUUCACCAAGAACACGCGCACGCUCAUGCUGUCCGUCUUCUACUUUGCCAUCCCGCUGGGCAGCGGCCUGGGCUACAUCACGGGCUCCAGCGUGAAGCAGGCGGCUGGAGACUGGCGCUGGGCCUUGCGGGUGUCCCCCAUCGUGGGCAUGAUCACAGGAACACUCAUCCUGAUCCUGGUCCCGGCCACCAAGAGAGGCCACGCUGACCAGCUCGGGGGGCAGCUCAAGGUGCGGACCUCGUGGCUCCGAGACAUGAAGGCCCUGAUCCGCAACCGCAGCUACGUCUUCUCCUCCCUGGCCACGUCGGCCGUGUCCUUCGCCACAGGGGCCCUGGGCAUGUGGAUCCCGCUGUACUUGCACCGAGCUCAGGUGGUGCAGAAGACAGCAGACGCGUGCAGCAGCCCGCCGUGCGGGGCCAAGGACAGCCUCAUCUUCGGGGCCAUCACCUGCUUCACUGGCUUCCUGGGUGUCGUCACGGGGGCGGGAGCCACGCGAUGGUGCCGCCUGCGGACCCAGCGGGCCGACCCCCUGGUGUGUGCCGUGGGCAUGCUGGGUUCGGCCAUCUUUGUCUGCCUCAUCUUCGUGGCUGCCAAGAGCAGCAUCGUGGGUGCCUACGUCUGCAUCUUUGUUGGGGAGACACUGCUGUUCUCUAACUGGGCCAUCACCGCGGACAUCCUCAUGUACGUGGUCAUCCCCACGAGACGGGCCACGGCCGUGGCCCUGCAGAGCUUCACGUCGCACCUGCUGGGGGACGCCGGGAGCCCCUACCUCAUCGGCUUUAUCUCCGACCUGAUCCGCCAGAGCACCAAGGACUCCCCGCUCUGGGAGUUCCUGAGCCUGGGCUACGCCCUCAUGCUCUGCCCCUUCGUGGUGGUCCUGGGCGGCAUGUUCUUCCUGGCCACGGCCCUCUUCUUCCUGGGCGACCGCGCCAAGGCCGAGCAGCAGUCCCUGCCCGGCACGUCCGGCCAGCCGGCCCCCGAGAUGCGAUGCGCCAGAGCAGUGCCCGGGCCCGGCCGCAGCUGAUCCGCCACCUUGACCCCCGCCCGUCUCUCCCCCAGGGUGAACCAGCUGGCGAUGCCACCCGCACCCGUCAAAGUCUGAGGCCGUGCCCCCAGGAUGGCGAAGAGACCGUGCCGUCGCCCUACCCGGGAGGCGUCCCAGGGCAUCCCGGCCCUGCCGGGCUGACGCGAAGCUUUCUAUGUGACCCGAGGCUGGGCACCCACCCUCUCUGGUGCGGGCCUGCCGAGUGGCCGUGGCACCAAGAGGCCGCGUCCUCAACUGACGUGGAAGGCUGCGUGUGGGGGAGCCGCACGGACGGACAGACUCCCAGCCGCUGGGGCCCAGGGAGGACGCAGCCCCCAGUGCGUCUGUGGGGAGAGCCUGGGGCGUCACCACCUUACAUGGUCCUGGGCGGCUGGACUUUCCCACGUGGCAGCUUUGGAGACCCUGGACUGCACAGAGAAGGGGCGGCCCAGGCCUCGGGGCGGAGCUUCAGGCUCUGACCUCAGGGUGCUGCUGGGCACUGGGCACGACCCUCCGGAGGGCACCGGUCCCUGCUGCCGGGGCUGGUGCUCGGCCUGGCAGUCUCCUAGGUGAGGGCCACCCAGGCGGAGACCCGACCGCACACCCUGUGCCCACGGUGCCCAGGGCACCUCCACUCCCACCGCGCUCCCCCCCCCCCCCCCGCCACGUGCACUUGCACGCCCCUGCCCCCGCUCCACACACGCUCCCCGCACACUGGCUGGAAUCAAGGUGGCGGGUAGGAGACCCCAAGAGCCAGCCUAGGCGACGCUUUGCCCCGUAGUUCCCACCGGCGUGGCUUCAGUGUGUGCAAGCUGGCAGGCACCUGCUCCUCACCCAGCUCUGGGGUACCUGCGAGGGGGUGGGACCCCCCCAAAGACCAGCCUGGCCGCCUCCCACCCCAGCCUCAACCGGGGCCCCAGCGAUGUUUUCUUGUUGUACAAGAACCAGGUCCAAGUUCGCCUCCUCUUCCUUCCGGAAGCCAAACUCCUCCUUUAUUUUUUAGAGCUGCUGAUUGUGAAUCUCAGAGUCUUAAGAGAAAAGCCAAAUAUAUUCCUCUUGUAAAUGAAGGAAUAAACCUAUUUAAAUCAUG